CAGCCGCCGCGGUAAUACGGAGGGAGCUAGCGUUGUUCGGAAUUACUGGGCGUAAAGCGCACGUAGGUGGUUAUUCAAGUCAGAGGUGAAAGCCCGGGGCUCAACCCCGGAACUGCCUUUGAAACUAGAUGACUGGAAUCUUGGAGAGGUCAGUGGAAUUCCGAGUGUAGAGGUGAAAUUCGUAGAUAUUCGGAAGAACACCAGUGGCGAAGGCGACUGACUGGACAAGUAUUGACGCUGAGGUGCGAAAGCGUGGGGAGCAAACAGGAUUAGAUACCCGCGUAGUCCCUGUCUCUUAUAC
RNAcentral lists this ribosomal RNA (301 nucleotides) under uncultured bacterium. RNAcentral describes it as "partial 16S ribosomal RNA". It matches the Rfam family "Bacterial small subunit ribosomal RNA", at positions 509 to 807 of the family's 1533-position model. The record is from RNAcentral.